This is a non-coding RNA of Anas platyrhynchos (mallard), 2986 nucleotides long. The record is from RefSeq and is a predicted model, not a curated record. Lineage: Eukaryota; Metazoa; Chordata; Aves; Anseriformes; Anatidae.
CAGGUUUUGACAGUGUACAGUAGAGCAGGGUUACAGAGCUGUGUGUCUUUCCCUUCCUCUUGGCUGCUCAGUACUACAGAAGUGAGAGCUGAGGAGCAAUUUCACUGCAAGACCAAGACAGCUUUUAUGAAGGAGACUGAGGUUCGUGGGUCCAGCAUAAUGAUGUAUUGCAAGGUGUUCCACAAGCAGAGCUUUUCUGAUUAAUAUAUUGUGUGCAACAGUACACAGCAAAUUGGGUAAGAAACUUCAACAGCCAGUUGCUCCAAGGGGUCUUCAAAAUAAGAGCAUCCUCAGAAAUUACCCUGCAUACAUGUGCUCUGUUCUCUGAUGACAGACCAGCUCCAAAAAAGGCCUUGGUUCAAGCUGUCAAUCCAAUACUGCCAAAUCUUUGUUAAUUUUAAGUAGCUUGCAGUGGAAAUCUGACAUUCAGCUGGAAUAAUCUGGAUUUCCCCCCUUCUCAGUAGUGUGAACUACAUUGUUACAUGAGACCUGAAUGAACUUUAUUAAGAAAAGUGUUUUUGUUUUUUUGUUUUUUUUUCCUUCCCAUGGGGAAUCCCAUAAUUUCAAUUUAUUUUUUCCACAUUCAACAAAGAAAUGGGAAAGAAAAAUAGAAAUUGCCCUGCAGAGCAAGAUUAGGAAAUAUAUUUUGUUGAGGUUGAUCUACAUGUAAUAAAAAUAACACAUUAGAAUGCUAAAAAAUAUUUAAGAUGAAAGCAUUUUCUCUCCUGACCUCUUCUUGCGAGAUCAAUAGGGCAUGCUUUGAACAAAUAGUGAUAGUGUUAGGAAAGGAACCUGCUUAGUUUUUACUCCAAAUUUGAAAAUUAUUAUAAUAACCUCUACUUUAGUUUCAGAGGUUUUCAAUGAGCAAGGAAACCAACUCAUACGAACACCACUCAUCAUCUCUAAUCAUGACCUUGUUACCACUUUUAGGCUGUUUGAUUUUCUGGAGUUGCAAGCCAGAGACUUCCAGACAAUCCAGAUUCUGGAUGUGUAUAAGAUAUAUCAAUUCAGCAGAAAUUAGGGUUUUUGAUAAAGUAAGAACUAAUAUAUAUAUAUAUCAUUAUGAAAGAUGCUUUUAAUAAAAUACAGAAGGACUUUCUUUUACCCUCUUUGUGAGAUUUCAGAAUAGUCACAGCAUGAUCUAUGUUAUUCUUUAGUCUUUAGAUAACAGGAAGGACCACAUGACAAGAGCAGCUUCCUGGACUGAACCGAAAGUCUGUGGUUUUUUUUUGGUUGUUGUUGGUGGUGUGUUUUGUUUGUUUGUUUGUUUUUGUUUUCCUUCCACAGAGUUGUAUAGUAGCCACUUCCACAAAGUAGCUACUUCCUAGUAGUAGAUGGAGAAAAGCAAUCCAUGUAUGAAGCCAGGACUCCCUGUACACCUCACCUCACUCCUAACAAUCUGUAGCUGAAAGGCUUCCUGCACUGGGGGCUUUUCUUGGACCCUUCCUUUGCACCAAGAUUCAGCAGUUCAGUGAAAGCCCUGAUGAACGACAAGGUUUUCUGAGCCCCGGCUCUAGAUUAUCUAUAAGAUAAUGAGAAAUAGAUUCUGAAACAGUCUCCUAUGAGAUUUGUUUGAUUUAGAUUCCAGAAAGGUGUCUCAGACUGCUCUUACUGCCACCCUCAUGGUGUACUUCUUCAGUGCAAGGCCACAUUCUGAAGCUGUAACACACCUAAACCGCAAACCAAUCUCUUUGGCUGAAAAACAAUUCUUAGACAUCUAACCUGUAACUUCUCUCAGAGAAUUUUAGAAAGGUUUUCAAUUAAUCAAUUAAAUAAAUCAAUUCAUUUCAAAAAUUUGUGACAAGGUUUAAUUCUGCACUAACCUCAGAUUUUCUCCCGUAGACUGGUUUAGUCUCAGAGCCAUUCAUAAUGGAUCAGAUCUCUCUAGGUCUCUCUUCCUUCCAUAAAAUUUAAAAAGGGAACAUGCCAUUGCAUUUGAAGCAGUCAUACAGAUACAGUUAUGAAGCUUACUCAGUAAUCAUGAGGUCAGGGCUACAGUGAAGAGCAUAAAAGAGGUGUAAAAUAACAAAAUAACUCAAAUUAGCCUGUUAGAACUGCUUAUCUUCAGGGGGAAAAAAAAACGCGUGAAAGAGAGAGAGUUGCUAACUAUUCUUUCUGCAAUAUAACCAAAAAGACUUAGAAAUGCACAGUCCUAAAGUUUUUCAAGCCCAUCUCUUUUUAUUUUCUCAGGAACUAACAGCUAAUAAGCCAGCAAGAACUUCACCAGCUAAUGAGCGUUAGUGACAACAAAGGACCCUCAAGCAAUCAUUUCCUAGGUCUGUUUCUUACCUUUCUGAUGCAACUUCCCAGCCACAACCUCCCUUCUUGCACAGAACUGAUGCUUGUCCUCUACUCAUUAUCAUUGUCACGUAACUAAAUUUUACUCUCAGUUCUCGAGCUGUUCAAAAAUAACAGGUAAAAGACCAAAUUUGCCUUGCAAUGAGACACACCUGCUUUCUUGUGCAUUUGUAUACACCUUGUACAUCUAAAUCUUGUCACAAUCAUACUAAUUCUGAGAAAUAAUUUAUAUCUGCCUAGUCAGAAGGAACUUGGACUUUAAGAGGUGACAUAAGAUCUAUUAUAUAAGUAAUAUAGGGAAAUAGCAGAGAUAUAGUUUGUGCCAGACUGUGAAACAACAGUAAUAACUAUGGCGAUUUUCUUUUACAUGUAGGUUCUGAUUUUAGCUUUUGUCUAACCAAGCACUUAACAAACAAAAAUGAAGUAAGGAAGGUAAACAACUGAAAACUGACAUGACACUAAAGAAUACUCCAGAAGAGUACCUCAGAUAGCAGUCUGGCUUUUAUGGCCAACUUCAGCUGAAAAGCAUAAACUCUGCAUUGCCAGAAGAGAGGCAGCAUUAUGGGUUAGUCCGACAGGUGGGACUGUGGAGAGAAUCAGAAAGGUGAAAGUGCUAGAACUCAUGGGUUGAGAUAAAGAGAGUUCACUGUGGAAAGCAAAAGCCAUGCACAAAAGCAAAGCAAAACAA